This 253-nucleotide ribosomal RNA is filed under the name uncultured bacterium. RNAcentral describes it as "partial 16S ribosomal RNA". It matches the Rfam family "Bacterial small subunit ribosomal RNA", at positions 524 to 776 of the family's 1533-position model. The record is from RNAcentral.
UACGUAGGGGGCAAGCGUUGUCCGGAUUUAUUGGGCGUAAAGCGCUCGCAGGUGGUUCGUCGCGUCGUGCGUGAAAGACCCCGGCUCAACUGGGGGAGGUCGUGCGAUACGGGCGAACUGGAGGCCAGUAGGGGGAUGCGGAAUUCCGGGUGUAGUGGUGAAAUGCGUAGAGACCCGGAGGAACACCAGUGGCGAAGGCGACACGCUGGGCCAUACCUGACGCUAAAGCGCGACAGCAUGGGGAGCGAACGGG